Molecule: ribosomal RNA, 206 nt
Filed under: uncultured bacterium
Lineage: Bacteria
Description: partial 16S ribosomal RNA
Rfam family: Bacterial small subunit ribosomal RNA
Source: RNAcentral
AGCGCAGACGGUUGAUUAAGUCUGAUGUGGAAGCCCGGAGCUCAACUCCGGAAUGGCAUUGGAAACUGGUUAACUUGAGUGCAGUAGAGGUAAGUGGAACUCCAUGUGUAGCGGUGGAAUGCGUAGAUAUAUGGAAGAACACCAGUGGCGAAGGCGGCUUACUGGACUGUAACUGACGUUGAGGCUCGAAAGUGUGGUAGCAAACA